GGGGGAUUUUAUUUUUCCAUUUUUUCCUUUUUUUUCCUUUUUGAAAUGAAGAGCACUGUAAGAGAUAGAACAGGCAAAACAAAAUAGUUAGCAGUAAUAAUAAUUAACAUAUAAGACAUCGCCGAGUGAACCCAUCUAACUAUAAUUUGAUCAGACAAAAUUAAAUCUACUUUUGGACCACUAGACCGGGGAUAGUCCCCAGCGGAGUCGCCAAGCUGUCGCAAUGGAUUUUGCGGUCGCCUGGACGAUCACUCACCGAAGUGGAAAAGAGUGAGGAGUCGCCACUUUA
Molecule: unclassified non-coding RNA, 289 nt
Filed under: Hevea brasiliensis (rubber tree)
Lineage: Eukaryota; Viridiplantae; Streptophyta; Magnoliopsida; Malpighiales; Euphorbiaceae
Source: RNAcentral